CUCCAGACUCCUACGGGAGGCAGCAGUGGGGGAUAUUGCACAAUGGGGGAAACCCUGAUGCAGCGACGCCGCGUGAGUGAGGAAGUAUUUCGGUAUGUAAAGCUCUAUCAGCAGGGAAGAAAAUGACGGUACCUGACUAAGAAGCCCCGGCUAACUACGUGCCAGCAGCCGCGGUAAUACGUAGGGGGCAAGCGUUAUCCGGAUUCACUGGGUGUAAAGGGGGCGCAGACGGCAGCGCAAGCCAGGAGUGAAAGCCCGGGGCCCAACCCCGGGACUGCUCUUGGAACUGCGCGGCUGGAGUGCAGGAGGGGCAGGCGGAAUUCCUGGUGUAGCGGUGAAAUGCGUAGAUAUCAGGAGGAACACCGGUGGCGAAGGCGGCCUGCUGGACUGCGACUGACGUUGAGGCCCGAAAGCGUGGGGAGCAAACAGGAUUAGAUACCCCCGUACUG
This 449-nucleotide ribosomal RNA is filed under the name uncultured bacterium. RNAcentral describes it as "partial 16S ribosomal RNA". It matches the Rfam family "Bacterial small subunit ribosomal RNA", at positions 329 to 793 of the family's 1533-position model. The record is from RNAcentral.